CUUAGGUCCUCCCGCAACGCUAAACUGCGAACCCCGCCAGGCCCGGAAGGGAGCAACGGUAGUGGUGGCUGCGUGUGCCGGGAUGUG
RNAcentral lists this signal recognition particle RNA (87 nucleotides) under Halomonas sp. Its description in RNAcentral is "partial signal recognition particle sRNA small type". It matches the Rfam family "Bacterial small signal recognition particle RNA", at positions 1 to 87 of the family's 97-position model. Rfam says of the family: The signal recognition particle (SRP) is a universally conserved ribonucleoprotein involved in the co-translational targeting of proteins to membranes. Lineage: Bacteria; Pseudomonadati; Pseudomonadota; Gammaproteobacteria; Oceanospirillales; Halomonadaceae. The record is from RNAcentral.